GUGGAUUAGAUACCCCAGUAGUCCACGCCGUAAACGGUGGGCGCUAGUUGUGCGAACCUUCCACGGUUUGUGCGACGCAGCUAACGCAUUAAGCGCCCCGCCUGGGGAGUACGAUCGCAAGAUUAAAACUCAAAGGAAUUGACGGGGCCCCGCACAAGCAGCGGAGCAUGCGGCUUAAUUCGACGCAACGCGAAGAACCUUACCAAGGCUUGACAUAUACAGGAAUACGGCAGAGAUGUCGUAGCCGCAAGGUCUGUAUACAGGUGGUGCACGGUCGUCGACAACU
This 286-nucleotide ribosomal RNA is filed under the name uncultured bacterium. Its description in RNAcentral is "partial 16S ribosomal RNA". It matches the Rfam family "Bacterial small subunit ribosomal RNA", at positions 773 to 1060 of the family's 1533-position model. The record is from RNAcentral.